AGGAACGAUGGCAAGAAAAGGGCAAAUUGUGUGAUCAAAUACAACUCCCUGUAAACAAAGAUGGGUUGUGUGUUGAUUCUGAAUGCCAAAAUAAGUGUCGCGAGUCAAAAGGACCGAAGGGGAUGAGUAAAUGUUUUGGGUCAAAAGCCAAAAAAUCUUUGAAUUUCUAUUGCGGAAUUCCUUGUUAACGUGCUGGUUAAGUAUGGUGAAUAAAUAUGAUGCUUAACUAUGAUAUCGUUGAAGUAUUUUUUUUUCUCAGUUUUUUUUCCUGUACUAGAAAAACACUAUAAUAUUUUUAUUGGAAGCCUUAUAAUAAAGUAUUGAAAUGUUUGUUUCGGAUUUGUUGCAUUAUAUAUAAUAAGGAAUAACAUAAAUUUUAAUCAAGACACAAUGGUUUAGUAUAAUCAGUGAACUUUUAACUUUUUAAUGUAUUUAGUUAAUUCCGGCCAAUUGAACUUAAUAUCUUGUUCACUUACUUUUUCUAUUUGGGCUAAAAUAAUAUUACCGUCCACAAAAAUAAGAAUCUGAAAGUAAAAAUUAACUUUCUGAUUUUUAUUUAAAUAUAUCAAUGACAAAGCAUUCUUUAAAAUCCAACUCCAGUGAAAACAUCGUACGUUACUGAAGGAAAGAAAGACAAGUGAAAAACGAAUAAUUAAUCCCCUAGACAUUAUUUGAGAAGUAAUUUAUCAUAUGUCAUCACCAAAAUGAUUUUGAAAGAAAAAUGAUGACAUGGAGUAUAGCUAAUUAUGACAAGGAUAUUUACAUUUAAUGUUAUUUAUAUUUUUAGUAAGUUUUUUAGAAUAAGGUAAUACCACAUAAAUAUAACUAAUUUAAAAAUAAAUAAUAUAAUAAAAAAUUAAAAAUAAUAAUAUUUUUUAAAAAUUGAAAUUUAUAUAAUUCCGUUUUUAUAUUUUUAUUAUAAAAACAAAUCGUCAAAAUUUUAUGAAGAUUGUUUUUAAAAUUAAUUGUAAUUUUUAAUCCCACUACCAUUAAUUUCUUUUUAAUAUCUACAAAUUUUAGAAGUAUUAUUUAGUUUUAAUUUUUGAAAAUUAUACCUAACCAAAAUUUCUCUCAAAUUAAUAGAAUUUGAUUUUGUAUAUUUUAACAAAGAAAUAGAUAAAAAGUAUUUCCAAGAUUGUAGUUUUAAAUAUAUAUACAUAUGCCAUUAAAUAUAUAUUUUAAGUGAUUUUUUUCUUAAUUUUUACGUUAUUAAAUUAAAAUUUAAAAUGAAAUAUUGUAUGAAAAUAAUAAAAUUUAUAAAUUAACAAAUUAUUUUAAAUGAUUUAAGGAUUAAGACUUUUAUUUUUGGUGGUGAAGGAAAACACUUAAUUUAAUAGUUAAUGAAGAGAUUAUUAUAUAUUAUGGCAUACCUAUGAAUUAAAAGAUUCGUAAAAAAUAACAUUUGUGUAGACAACAAAGAGAAAAGUAAUUUUACUAAAAAUUAUAUUAUAAACUUAAUAUACAUAAUCCACUCAUGACGCAGACAAAACCUUUAUUAGUUUCUAUUAAGAACUUGAAUAGAUGUGUCGCAAGUUUCAUAAUACUUUUUAAUUAUAUUGAUAUUAUUAUAUUUAUAUCUUAACUGAAUAAUAUUUAACUCUGACCCACUUAAUAUGUCAUUCUCAAAUGUAGAAUUGUAACUUUUAAUUUCGUGUUUCUUUUGUUAACAUUUUAUAUAUUUUUUGUGCACCAAGUUCCUAUAUAUUUACAAUUAGAUAUCAUAUAUGCCGAAUUUUUUUGGAAGUGGGACCCCAUAAACUGGAGGCCCCAUUCAAAUGUUUUAAAAUACUACAUACAAGCUCGACUCUGGACUUGAGUUGCGUAAGACCGCAAACUAAGGUGUGUUUGAUCUGUGUUUGAUUGAUCUGCACCCGACUAGCACAUGAUGUGUAUAUCUAACUGAGCAGUACUGCAUUACCCGACAGAGGCAUAUAUACUGAAGACAUCAUUGAUCCCACUAUAUUGCAAACUAGAACCCUCAUAUUCCAAACAAAGGAUAACUAAAAGAAAGUAAUGGAUUGGGUCGAGGCACCGGUCUAGGCUAAAAUGACUAGUUGGUUUUUAUUUUUUAAUGUGUGAGGCCAUUGAACGUUAUUUUUUAAUCAUGCUACCUUUUCGUAUGUUUUAGAAGAUGAAGACAAAUUAUGUGAAUACCGAAAAAGAAAGGAAAUAAAAUAAAAAUAAAUCACAAAAAAUAAUAGUAUAUUUCAUUUUUAGCGAGAAACUGUAUCUAUGGAAAGAGAAGAAUAAAUUAGAUGAAGAGAAUACUUUUACCUUACAUAUAAAAAAGGAAAAGAAUAAAAUAGACGAAGAUAAUAUUAUUAUUUUUACCCAGACAUAUUUUUUACAUAGAGAUUAAUUAAACAUCUCAAUCUUUAGUUUUAAUUUUUGAUAAUUAUACCUAACCAAAAUUUCUCUCAAUUUAAUAGAAUUUGAUUUAGUAUAUUUUAACAAAAAAAUAGAUAAAAAGUCUUUCCAAGAUUGUAGUUUUAAAUAUAUAUACAUAUAUUAUUAAAUAUAUAUUUUAAAUGAUUUAUUUUUUCUUAAUUUUUACGUUAUUAAAUUCAAAUUUAAAAUGAAAUAUUGUAUGAAAAUACUAAAAUUUAUAAAUUAAAAAAAAUUUAUAAAUGAUUUAAGGUUUAAGACUUUUUUUUUGGUGGUGAAGGAAAACACUUAGUUUAAUAGUUAAUGAAGAGAUUAUUAUAUAUUAUGGCAUACCUAUGAAUUAAAAGAUUCGUAAAAAAUAACAUUUGUGUAGACAACAAAGAGAAAAGUAAUUUUACUAAAAAUUAUAUUAUAAACUUAAUAUACAUAAUCCACUCAUAACGCAGACAAAACCUUUAUUAGUUUCUAUUAAGAACUUGAAUAGAUGUGUCGCAAGUUUCAUAAUACUUUUUAAUUAUAUUGAUAUUAUUAUAUUUAUAUCUUAACUGAAUAAUAUUUAACUCUGACCCACUUAAUAUGUCAUUCUCAAAUGUAGAAUUGUAACUUUUAAUUUCGUAUUUCUUUUGUUAACAUUUUAUAUAUUUUUUGUGCACCAAGUUUCUAUAUAUUUACAAUUAGAUAUCAUAUAUGCCGAAUUUUUUUGGAAGUGGGUCCCCGUAAACUGGAGGCUCCAUUCAAAUGUUUUAAAAUACUACAUACAAGCUCGACUCUGGACUUGAGUUGCGUAAGACCGCAAACUAAGGUGUGUUUGAUCUGUGUUUGAUUGAUCUGCACCCGACUAGCACAUGAUGUGUAUAUCUAACUGAGCAGUACUGCAUUACCCGACAGAAGCAUAUAUACUGAAGACAUCAUUGAUCCCACUAUAUUGCAAACUAGAACCCUCAUAUUCCAAACAAAUGAUAACUAAAAGAAAGUAAUGGAUUGGGUCGAGGCACCGGUCUAGGCUAAAAUGACUAGUUGGUUUUUAUUUUUUAAUGUGUGAGGCCAUUGAACGUUAUUUUUUAAUCAUGCUACCUUUUCGUAUGUUUUAGAAGAUGAAGACAAAUUAUGUGAAUACCGAAAAAGAAAGGAAAUAAAAUAAAAAUAAAUCACAAAAAAUAAUAGUAUAUUUCAUUUUUAGCGAGAAACUGUAUCUAUGGAAAGAGAAGAAUAAAUUAGAUGAAGAGAAUACUUUUACCUUACAUAUAAAAAAGGAAAAGAAUAAAAUAGACGAAGAUAAUAUUACUAUUUUUACCCAGACAUAUUUUUUACAUAGAGAUUAAUUAAACAUCUCAAUGUUUUAUAUCAAACUGCAACAAAAUGAUCUUUGAAUUUUUUUUGAUUAAAUUUUAUAGCCUAAUUUUUGACUCCCAACAAUUACAGUACACAAUUUUUCAAACUACCAUAAGAUAGCAAUUUUUUUACAAUAUUAAAAAUAAUUAGUUUACGCAUAUGACAUUUACCAUUAUAUUUAUUUAUAGAAACAUAAGUGAACGAGUCCAAAGCUUUCACGUAUUAGAUGAGCAAGAAAAAUGGAAAUUUUUCAAAAUUAGAUUCGGUUAAAGCGGAACAUAAUAAAGUGAAUUGCUUAAAUUAGCUAUUUUAGCUAUAUAUAUAUAUAUAUUCAUGUUACCAAAACAGAAAAAUACAUCACCUUUCCUUUUAGAGUUUAAAAUCAUUAUCAAUUCACUUCUGUCAUAUAUGAUGAAGAAAACCCCUCAACUCUCGUUUACAGUCUUUACUAUCUUCAUCAUUCUUGUGUUAGGUUUGUAUUUAUAAUUUAAGUUUAUCUUAACAUUUACAUAUACUCGUUAUAACAUAAACUGAUCUUGAAUAAUGUGAUUUUGAUAUUUUUAAAAUAUCAUUCAGGCUAUAUUUUGUAAAAUACAUCAUAAUUUAUAUAGUGUAGAAGUUGUUAUUUCAAGUAUCUCUUUUAUGUAAAUUUCAUAACAUACAUAAAAGCUAGAAAACCAAGUUUAGAGGUUUUUGUAUAAAUAUAUAUGGUCUUCAUAAUUUAUGAAGAUCUAUAAUAUAGAAAUGGUUCCACAUAUUUCCACUUUUUAUCAUCUAUCUUUCAGUUUUUUUUUUAAAACAUAUAAAUUUGGUAACAUGUGUUUUUCAUAACUAUAAAUGCCCUUUUAAGUAGAUUUAUAAUAUAUAUAACGUUAUAUUUGUACAUUUUUGUAGUAAUAUGUUACUUUUCCAAAAAAAGAAAAUAAUUAAAAACAUAUUCAUAUGUUAUUCUCACUUUAUCAGUAAUAUUCAGAAAUUAUUCAGAGUAGAAAAAAAAAUUUGCUGAUUAAAUCAUACAUAUGCUCUUUUUUUCGUUACUUCAAUCUCUAUUUUUAUAUAUUAGUAAUGAUUCUUAAAAUAAAAAUUUUUAAUCAGUUUUUUUGAUAAAUAAAUUUUAUAUUUGUGUUAAAAAAAGUUAUUUUCCAGAGAAAGAGAAAAUAAGUUUUUUUUUUCUAUUUGACUACAAAAUCUGAUAUUUUAUAUUCAAUAGGAACGAUGGCAAAUGCAAAAGAAAAGGGCAAAUUGUGUGAUCAAAUACAACUCCCUGUAAACAAAGAUGGGUUGUGUGUUGAUUCUGAAUGCCAAAAUAAGUGUCGCGAGGCAAAAGGACCGAAGGGGUUGAGUAAAUGUUUUGGGUCAAAAGCCAAAAAGUCUAUGAAUUGCUAUUGCGGAAUUCUUUGUUAACGUGCUGGUUAAGUAUGGUGAAUAAAUAUGAUGCUCAACCAUGAUAGCUUUGAAGUAUUUUUUUUUAUUUUUCUCUGUUUUUUUUCCUGUACUAGAAAAACACUAUAAUAUUUUUAUUCGAAGCCUUAUAAUAAAGUAUUGAAAUGUUUGUUUCGGAUUUGUUGCAUUAUUUAUAAUAAUGAAUAACAUAAAUUUUAAUCAAGACACAAUGGUUAGUAUAAUCAGUGAACUUUUAUCUUUUUAUUGUAUUUAGUUAAUUCCGGCCAAUUGAACUUAAUAUCUUGUUCACUUAUUUUUUCUAUUUGGGCUAAAAUAAUAUUACCGUCCACAAAAAUAAGAAUCUGAAAGUGAAAUUAACUUUCUGAUUUUUUUUUUAAAUAUAUCAAUGACAAACCAUUCUUUAAAAUCCGACCCCAGUGAAAACGUCGUAUGUUACUAAAGGAAAGAAAGACAAAUGAAAAAAAAGAAUAAUUAAUUCCCUAGACAUUAUUUGAGAAGUAAUUUAUCAUAUGUCAUCACCAAAAUGAUUUUGAAAGAAAAAUGAUAACAUGGACUAUAACUAAUUAUGACAUGAAUAUUUACAUUUAAUGUUAUUUAUAUUUUUAGUAAGUUUUUUAGAAUAAGGUAAUACCUCAUAAAUAUAACUAAUUUAAAAAUAAAUAAUUUAAUAAAAAUUUAAAAAUAAUAUUUUUUUUUAAAAUCGAUAAAUAUGAUGCUCAACCAUGAUAGCUUUGAAGUAUUUUUUUUUAUUUUUCUCUGUUUUUUUUCCUGUACUAGAAAAACACUAUAAUAUUUUUAUUCGAAGCCUUAUAAUAAAGUAUUGAAAUGUUUGUUUCGGAUUUGUUGCAUUAUUUAUAAUAAUGAAUAACAUAAAUUUUAAUCAAGACACAAUGGUUAGUAUAAUCAGUGAACUUUUAUCUUUUUAUUGUAUUUAGUUAAUUCCGGCCAAUUGAACUUAAUAUCUUGUUCACUUAUUUUUUCUAUUUGGGCUAAAAUAAUAUUACCGUCCACAAAAAUAAGAAUCUGAAAGUGAAAUUAACUUUCUGAUUUUUUUUUUAAAUAUAUCAAUGACAAACCAUUCUUUAAAAUCCGACCCCAGUGAAAACAUCGUAUGUUACUAAAGGAAAGAAAGACAAAUGAAAAAAAAGAAUAAUUAAUUCCCUAGACAUUAUUUGAGAAGUAAUUUAUCAUAUGUCAUCACCAAAAUGAUUUUGAAAGAAAAAUGAUAACAUGGACUAUAACUAAUUAUGACAUGAAUAUUUACAUUUAAUGUUAUUUAUAUUUUUAGUAAGUUUUUUAGAAUAAGGUAAUACCUCAUAAAUAUAACUAAUUUAAAAAUAAAUAAUUUAAUAAAAAUUUAAAAAUAAUAUUUUUUUUUAAAAUCGAAAUUUAUAUAAUUCUGUUUAUAUAUUUUUAUUACAAAAACAAAACGUCAAAAUUUUAGGCAGAUUGUUUUUUAAAAAUUAAUUGUAAUUUUUAAUCCCACUACCAUUAAUUUCUUUUUAAUUUUCUUUUUUUUGACAGCAAGAAAAUUUACAUACUCAUAAAGACUCCGUAAACCAAGGUAGUAACUCUGUAUCCAUGUGUAUGACGAACGACGGUUGUAUCCUAGCACUGCGUGCCAAGCGAUCCGCCAUUUUAUUGUCCGUCCUCGAUACAUGAAUAACUUCUGAAUUGGUGAAGCUUCUUCUCAAAAGUAUGAUAUCCUCCAGGUAACUCCCAAAUGCUGGCCAUUCCUCUGGUUCCGAAACCAUCUUCACCAGUUGAGAACAAUCCGUUGCGAACGUAACCUGAAACUGUCUUAAAUUUUUCAUACAUUCCAUUGCCCAAGUCAGUGCUUCUAUCUCCGCAUGAAGAGGUGAUAAACUUGCCCUUAUGUUUCUUGCCCCUAACAGUCUCUCAAACCCUGGAAGUGUACUGAGCCAACCUUGGCCUGAGAAACCAUCUUUAUCCUUCCAAGAACCAUCCGUAAAACACCAUCUACCUGUAGUCACUAAGGGCAAUCUGCCUUGAACUUCAGGAAUGACCCUUGGAUUAUUGAGAUUCUGCGCUUCAUUCCAGAGUCUAGACUCUAAUUCUGCUAAUUUUAACGUCUCUCUCGGCUCAACAUCAAUAUUACUGAAAACCUUAUUAUUCCUGCCCUUCCAAAUAUACCAUAGUAUCCAUGCAAACUGAUGAUCCUCCAUUUUCGAGUUAACUCUCCAAAACAAAUGAUCCAUAUUAGUAAAAAGGGAACCAGUUGGAAAAAUAUUUGGAUUUGAUGGAAUCCUUGAUAGUGCCCACACUUGUCAUGCCGGAGGACAUUCAAAAAAAACAUGAUUAACUGAUUCCUCUGGAUUUCCACACCGUGCACAAACAGUAUCUCCUUGUAUUCCUCUUGAUUUUAAGUUCUUUGUCACUGCUAUACAACCUGUUAUCAACUGCCAUAUAAAAUGCCGUAACUUUGGAGGGCACUUAACUUUCCAACAAAAAGCCUAAAGUAUAUCCACAUUGGGACCAUAAUAAUCUGGUGGUUUUUCCUUGUCAGGAUAAAUCCUUUCUACUUGAUACCCUGAUUGUACCGAAUAUUUUCCAUUGUUAGUGAAAUGCCAACCAUUUCUAUCUUCCAUCUGAAUUCUACUCAGAGGAAUACCUUCAAUCAACUUUGCAUCCUCGGGCUCCACCAAAGUCCUAAGUGCCUGUAAAUUCCAAGUGCGAGAUUCCUGAUGAAUAAGGGAAUCCACUGUAAGAUCCGGGUAACUAUUGUGAAAAUUUUUAUUAGCUGGUCUCGGGCGAGUGGAUGGGAUCCAGGGAUCGUUCCAUACUGAGAUAGAUGAUCCUGUACCCACCCUUUUAAUUAGUCCUUUACAAACCAGAGAUCUAGCAGAGGUGAUACUCCUCCAGCCAUACGACGGGGAAUAUGAGCGAAUCGGAUCCAGGGGUGAAGCAUUCCUGUAAUACCGUCCUUUGAAAACUCGAGAGAAAAUAGAAUUUGGCUUCUCGAUCAGCCUCCACAAUUGCUUUCCAAGCAUUGCCGUAUUAAAAUCAUUAAGAUCCUUGAAACCUAACCCACCAUUAUCUUUGGUUUCACAUAAUUUAUCCCAUGAUUUCCAAUGCAUACCUUUUGUACUUCCUCCUGGACUCCACCAAAACUGAGCAACCGCACUCGUUAAUUUCUUCACUGUGGCUUUCGGUAAUCGAUACACCGACAUUACAUGGUUUGGUAGGGCCGUUAUGACUGAUUUAAUAAUCACCUCUUUUUCCCUUUGGUGAAAAAUCUAAAAGUCCAACCAUUCACCCUAUUAUUCAACCGAUCUUGUACAAAACCAAACACCUGAACCUUGGAUCCUCCUAAGCUUUCCGGCAAUCCCAAAUAGGAACCCAUUCCUCCUAAAUUCUGAAUCCCCAAAAUAUCUCGCAAUUCCUGACGGCUUGAUUCCUCAAUCUUAUGUCCAAAUUGAAUUGAAGAUUUUUGAAAAUUAAUUUGUUGUCCUGACACAGCCUCAUAAUCCUUUAGUAUCCUAAGAAUAGUAUGACACUCUUCUUUAUUGGCCUUGCAAAAGAACAAACUAUCAUCCGCAAAUAGCAGAUGAGAAACAGCUGGACACGCUCGGGCUACCUUCAUACCGGUUAAUUGUUUCAUCCGCUCUGCCUUUUUGAUAUUCAUAAUUAGAGCCUCUGUGCACAUAAUAAAUAAAUAAGGAGAUAAUGGAUCUCCCUGCCGUAAACCCCGCUUAGGGAUAAUGAGACCUCGGGGCUGCCCAUUGAGUAAAACUCUAUAUUGAACUGAAGAUAUACAUUCUUUCAUCAAUUUAACCCAAUGCGGGUCAAAUCCCAUUUUAGUAAGUAAGGCCUCAAUAAAACUCCACUCUAUCCGAUCAUAUGCCUUACUCAUAUCCGUUUUAAUUGCCAUAAACUUAUUUUGACAGGAUUUGUUGGAUCGCAACCCAUGAAACAUUUCCUGCGCAAUAAGAAUAUUGUCCGAUAUUAACCUUCCUGCCACAAAAGCCGAUUGCGUCUCCAAAAUUAAAUGGGGAAGACAAAUCUUCAAUCUUUGACACAAAACUUUCGAAAUGAUCUUAUAACCAACGUUACAUCCGUCCUUUGAAGACUCGAGAGAAAAGAGAAUUUGGCUUCUCGAUCAGUCUCCACAAUUGCUUUCCAAGCAUUGCCGUAUUAAAAUCAUUUAAAUCCUUGAAUCCUAAUCCACUGUUAUCCUUGUGUUCACACAAUUUAUCCCAUGAUUUCCAAUGCAUACCACGUGUACUUUCUCCUGGACUCCACCAAAACUGAGCAACCGCACUCGUUAAUUUUUUCACUGUGGCUUUCGGUAAUCGAUACACCGACAUUACAUGGUUUGGUAGGGCCGUUAUGACUGAUUUAAUAAUCACUUCUUUUCCCCCUUUAGUGAAAAAUCUAAAAUUCCAACCUUUCACCCUAUUAUUCAACCGAUCUUGUACAAAACCAAACACUUGAACCUUGGAUCCUCCUAAGCUUUCCGGCAGUCCCAAAUAAGAACCCAUUCCUCCUAAAUUCCGAAUCCCCAAAAUAUCUCGCAAUUCCUGACGGCUUGAUUCCUCAAUCUUAUGUCCAAAUUGAAUUGAAGAUUUUUGAAAAUUAAUUUGUUGUCCUGACACAGCCUCAUAAUCCUUUAGUAUCCUAAGAAUAGUAUGACACUCUUCUUUAUUGGCCUUGCAAAAGAACAAACUAUCAUCCGCAAAUAGCAGAUGAGAAACAGCUGGACACGCUCGGGCUACCUUCAUACCGGUUAAUUGUUUCAUCCGCUCUGCCUUUUUGAUAUUCAUAAUUAGAGCCUCUGUGCACAUAAUAAAUAAAUAAGGAGAUAAUGGAUCUCCCUGCCGUAAACCCCGCUUAGGGAUAAUGAGACCUCGGGGCUGCCCAUUGAGUAAAACUCUAUAUUGAACUGAAGAUAUACAUUCUUGCAUUAAUUUAACCCAAUGCGGGUCAAAUCCCAUUUUAGUAAGUAAGGCCUCAAUAAAACUCCACUCUAUCCGAUCAUAUGCCUUACUCAUAUCCGUUUUAAUUGCCAUAAACUUAUUUUGACAGGAUUUGUUGGUUCGCAACCCAUGAAACAUUUCCUGCGCAAUAAGAAUAUUGUCCGAUAUUAAUCUUCCUGCCACAAAAGCCGAUUGCGUCUCCGAAAUUAAAUGGGGAAGACAAAUCUUCAAUCUCUGACACAAAACUUUCGAAAUGAUCUUAUAACCAACGUUACAUAGGCUUAUCGGUCUUAGUUCCGCCAUCCUGGUAGGUCUCUCGACUUUUGGGAUCAUACAGAUGUUUGUUAUGUUUAAACGUGAAUCCAUAUCUCCUGAGUUAUUGAUCUUUGUCGUAAAACCAUCAGAAAUGCCUUCUUGAUUUUCUGUCCAUCCCGAUACAAUUGAUUCCAUGAGUCCUUCUUGGCCAAUCCAUCGCUUAUCAAACCUGAAUUGUCCUCUUUUCCGUCCUGGGGCCUUAUCGUCCAAAAAGCUACCACUGGUCUAUGAUCCGAUCCCACCAUUCUCAAAUAUUCUGUAUAAGAAUAUGGAAAAAGUGUAUGCCAUUACUCGUUAGCCAAGGCUCUAUCCAGACGACAUCUAACCGUAAAUGCUCCUUUCUCUUUACCUCUUCGUCCUUGCCAUGACAUUUUAUUACCUCGAGCCGGAAAUUCAAGCAAACCACUAUUUCUAAUCAUAUUAUCGAAGGGGUUGAGUAAAUGUUUUGGGUCAAAAGCCAAAAAGUCUAUGAAUUGCUAUUGCGGAAUUCUUUGUUAACGUGCUGGUUAAGUAUGGUGAAUAAAUAUGAUGCUCAACCAUGAUAGCUUUGAAGUAUUUUUUUUUAUUUUUCUCUGUUUUUUUUCCUGUACUAGAAAAACACUAUAAUAUUUUUAUUCGAAGCCUUAUAAUAAAGUAUUGAAAUGUUUGUUUCGGAUUUGUUGCAUUAUUUAUAAUAAUGAAUAACAUAAAUUUUAAUCAAGACACAAUGGUUAGUAUAAUCAGUG
This 11098-nucleotide long non-coding RNA is filed under the name Brassica napus (rape). RNAcentral describes it as "long non-coding RNA (BNAP_LNC004114)". The record is from RNAcentral. Lineage: Eukaryota; Viridiplantae; Streptophyta; Magnoliopsida; Brassicales; Brassicaceae.